This 92-nucleotide non-coding RNA is filed under the name Operophtera brumata (winter moth). Lineage: Eukaryota; Metazoa; Arthropoda; Insecta; Lepidoptera; Geometridae. The record is from RNAcentral.
GUGUCUAUUGAAAGGAGAGACGGUUAGCACUCCCCUUGACAAGGAUGGAACACAUAAUGGUUAUGGGCACUCAUAGCCACCACAUUUUUUUU